RNAcentral lists this small nuclear RNA (107 nucleotides) under Chinchilla lanigera (long-tailed chinchilla). The record is from RNAcentral. Lineage: Eukaryota; Metazoa; Chordata; Mammalia; Rodentia; Chinchillidae.
GUGCUUGCUUCAGCAGUACAUACACUGAAAUCAGAACUGUGAAGAGAAGAUUGGCAUGACUCCUGUGUAAGAAACAGCACACAAUUUAUGAAAUGUUCUGUGUUUUU